RNAcentral lists this long non-coding RNA (216 nucleotides) under Lathyrus oleraceus (garden pea). Its description in RNAcentral is "Pisum sativum (pea) long non-coding RNA (PSAT_LNC037682)". Lineage: Eukaryota; Viridiplantae; Streptophyta; Magnoliopsida; Fabales; Fabaceae. The record is from RNAcentral.
AAUCAGAUUAUGAAACUAUAUUUUUAAAGAAAUUUUUUGCAAUUGGUCUCAUUUUUUUGUGAUUCCAAAUAAAAGAGUUAUGAAUUUUUGAAAAUAAAUGGAAUAAAAGAAAAUAAAACAAAAAUUAGAAAAAAUAGAAAAAUCAGCGCCCCUUGGAUCAAUUCAUUAAUUGACGUGGCAACAUCCAAGGGUUCAGAAGCGCGUUUCCAUGGUAGG